Long non-coding RNA from Megalobrama amblycephala (Wuchang bream), 640 nucleotides. RefSeq lists it as uncharacterized. The transcript is spliced from 3 exons. NCBI's taxonomy places the organism in Eukaryota, Metazoa, Chordata, Actinopteri, Cypriniformes, Xenocyprididae. The record is from RefSeq and is a predicted model, not a curated record.
UCGACAACCCAUUCUCUGAGAGCUGUUUGCCCAUUUCAUACACCGCUAAUAAAAUGAAGAGCAGUCAGUUUCAGUUUAGGCAGUGGCACGUGUGGCGCGCAUGGUCAUGUCAUGACUUUUUCCAGUGUGCAGCGCAGAGAACGGGUAAAGAUGGAUGCGGAGCAAACGAUCUUUCAAUCGAAUGGACAAGAUAAGCUCAUGCAAUUUACAUAUGAAUGUACCCGGAGACGACAGAAAACACACAAAGAGCAUCAGCUUUCGUUUAAGCAAGACCACACCGGACGCGGUGAAUGUGUGUUAGAAAUCAGGAAUGGCAGUCUCUUCCAGUGGGUGAUUCAUGGAAUCUUGAGAAUCACUGAUUUGGCACUUUUACAACUACAGGAAUUCUCUUUAAGCAAUUACCAAAGUGCCUGGCGAUGGCCCGCGGACACAUACUGCUGUUCCAUGUGAGGUAAGAUCACUGACAGUCUACUGUUUAGUCAAACAGACUACAAAAGACACAGCAAUCAAUAGGCAGGAGCACACUGAGAUGAUCGAACGCAAGCUCAACACCUUCUCACAUACACACCUCAGACGAUCAUUACAGGAGCUGAUGUCAGUAUUGAUUACCUCCUCUGUGUCAUCAAGUGAAUACUAUUGC